This 66-nucleotide transfer RNA is filed under the name Gigantometra gigas. RNAcentral describes it as "tRNA-Ala". Lineage: Eukaryota; Metazoa; Arthropoda; Insecta; Hemiptera; Gerridae. The record is from RNAcentral.
GGGAAUGUAGUUAAAAAUAACUUUUAAUUUGCAAUUAAAAAUUACUCAAAAUAUGAGUCUUUCUCA